GCCAAGCAGUCUUGAAGAGCGCAGUCCUGGGCUGUCCGCACCAUGGCCUGGGCUCCUCUCCUGCUCACACUUCUGGCUCACAUCACAGGGGCUGAAUCACAGGCUGUGGUGACUCAGGAACCUCCACUGUCCACAUCUCCUGGAGGGACGGUCACGCUCACCUGUGGCUCCAGUACUGGAGCCGUCACGACCAGUAACUACGCUAGCUGGGUCCAACAGAAACCCUACCAAACACCCCAGGGACUAAUAUAUAGCACCAGCAACAGGAACCCCGGUGUCCCUGCCCGCUUCUCAGGCUCCUUGCUUGGAGACAAGGCUGCCCUCACCAUCACAGGGGCCAAGGCUGAAGACGAGGCCACCUAUUACUGUGCCCUGUGGUACAGCAACCAUUUCCACAGUGACACAUGCAGAUGGGGAACUGAGACAAAAACUCCCUUGUGCACAUCACCCUGUGCUCCUCAGCACCUCCUUGUGGACAAACACAAGACUCGGAGUCAUGUGUGGUGUCUGAGAGAGAUGGGAAUCUCUGGAGCCUUAGAAGGGGACCAUGUGAGGCAACCACUGCAAGAGCCCCAGUGA
Molecule: non-coding RNA, 579 nt
Organism: Chinchilla lanigera (long-tailed chinchilla)
Lineage: Eukaryota; Metazoa; Chordata; Mammalia; Rodentia; Chinchillidae
Source: the annotation of a RefSeq genome assembly